This 495-nucleotide ribosomal RNA is filed under the name uncultured bacterium. Its description in RNAcentral is "partial 16S ribosomal RNA". It matches the Rfam family "Bacterial small subunit ribosomal RNA", at positions 28 to 507 of the family's 1533-position model. The record is from RNAcentral.
GAUGAACGCUGGCGGCGUGCCUAAUACAUGCAAGUAGAACGCUGAAGGAGGAGCUUGCUCUUCUGGAUGAGUUGCGAACGGGUGAGUAACGCGUAGGUAACCUGCCUGGUAGCGGGGGAUAACUAUUGGAAACGAUAGCUAAUACCGCAUGACAACAGUUAUUGCAUGAUAACUGUUUAAAAGGGGCAACUGCUCCACUACCAGAUGGACCUGCGUUGUAUUAGCUAGUUGGUGAGGUAACGGCUCACCAAGGCGACGAUACAUAGCCGACCUGAGAGGGUGAACGGCCACACUGGGACUGGGACACGGCCCAGACUCCUACGGGAGGCAGCAGGAGGGAAUCAUCGGCAAUGGACGGAAGUCUGACCGAGCAACGCCGCGGGAGUGAAGGAGGUUUUCGGAUCGUAAAGCUCUGUUGUAAGAGAAGAACGAGUGUGAGAGUGGAAAGUUCACACUGUGACGGUAUCUUACCAGAAAGGGACGGCUAACUACGUG